AUUGAACGCUGGCGGCAUGCUUUACACAUGCAAGUCGAACGGCAGCACGAAAGAGCUUGCUCUUUUGGUGGCGAGUGGCGAACGGGUGAGUAAUGCAUCGGAACGUACCGAGUAAUGGGGGAUAACUGUCCGAAAGGAUAGCUAAUACCGCAUACGCUUUGAGAAGGAAAGUGGGGGCUCUUCGGACCUCACGUUAUUCGAGCGGCCGAUGUCUGAUUAGCUAGUUGGUGGGGUAAAGGCCUACCAAGGCGACGAUCAGUAGCGGGUCUGAGAGGAUGAUCCGCCACACUGGGACUGAGACACGGCCCAGACUCCUACGGGAGGCAGCAGUGGGGAAUUUUGGACAAUGGGCGCAAGCCUGAUCCAGCCAUGCCGCGUGUCUGAAGAAGGCCUUCGGGUUGUAAAGGACUUUUGUUAGGGAAGAAAAGGAUAGUGUUAAUACCAUGAUCUGCUGACGGUACCUAAAGAAUAAGCACCGGCUAACUACGUG
RNAcentral lists this ribosomal RNA (490 nucleotides) under uncultured bacterium. RNAcentral describes it as "partial 16S ribosomal RNA". It matches the Rfam family "Bacterial small subunit ribosomal RNA", at positions 30 to 507 of the family's 1533-position model. The record is from RNAcentral.